Molecule: long non-coding RNA, 411 nt
Organism: Scatophagus argus
Lineage: Eukaryota; Metazoa; Chordata; Actinopteri; Scatophagidae
Exons: 5
Source: RefSeq, a predicted model, not a curated record
ACUUACCAUGUUCAGCCGUGUUCACAUUCUUAGAGCACUGUUUCACCAGGAAACUCAGGUUGAUAUGUAGUUCUAGUCCAGUUGCAGUAAAAGUCCAAAGGUCGAUGGAGGUGUAAGCCGUAACUGACUGAUUGAUUCUGUCAGGGAGGAUAAUUCAAGGAUGGAUGUGAGGAGCCGCAUGUCUACAUUUAAUGACAAAGAAUUGGCAGCAAUGUCUGCUGGCUCAAAGGACAAGAGCAUAAGAUUGAAGACAUCAAGCUCAUGCAGUGGACAGAGCGUGACGUCUAAACGGUCCAUUGACAAGCCUAUAGGUUUCAAAGGCAAACAUGAGAAGUCACCAGGAUCUACGUACUCUGCUUGUGAGUCAGAGAAGUCAUCAAAGGAUAUCCCCCUUCAUUUCAGAAAAGAACA